AACGCAUCUCAUCGUUUUGCAAGAAUGGAUAUCAUUACAAGUACAUGUAUUGAAAAGGUGGGUAUAAGGAGUUGGCUUACACUCUCCAUAAGCUACAUCAGAGUCACAUCAAUACAACCAUAUACAAUCAUCAUGUAGAAGAGUAGGGCCCGACUACGGAUGAAAACAAACGAUAAAAGAACGACGUCCAUCCUUGCUAUCCCUGGUUGCAGGCAUGGAACCCAUCCUAGAUCGAUGAUGAAGAACAAGAAGAAACUCCAAAUAGCACAAUCAGCGCGCUCACGUCAAAGUAACUCUUUACCUGUACCUACAACUGGUGUUGUAGUAAUCUGUGAGCCACAUGGAUUCAGUAAUCUCAUUUCCAAAGGUAUCAAGACUAGUAAAGCUUAAUGGAUGAGGUAUGGUUAAGUGGCGAGGCUGCAGCAAGCGACUAAGCAUUUAUUUGAGGUGGCUAACUUACGAAUACAAGAAUAAAAGAGGGGGAAGAUCUACGCACAGUGGACGUGAACUACUGAUGAUCAAAUGAAUGAUCCUGAACACCUACUUACGUGAGACAUAACCCCACCGUGUCCUCGAUCGGAGAAGGAGCUCGCGAAAGAGACAAUCACAGUUACGCACUCAGUUGGCAUAAUUUAAUUAAGCUUACUUCAACUUAUCUAGAGUCGGAUGUUAAACAAAGUUUCCACAUUGCCACAUAACCGCUGGCAUGGCUUUCUGAAAGAUUUAACCCUGCACGGGUGCUCCAACUAGUCCAUCACAAACUACCACACGCUACGACGAAAUGACCUCGAUUAGGGAAACCCGUGAUCUCCUCAAGUUCCUAUUGGAAAACCUCAACCUCGAGAUAACCCAAAGCAUCGUCGGAAUCCCUCGCACAAGACGCUCGAGAAAGGUAAAACAAGUCCAGCAAGGCCGCCGGCGUGUCGAUGAUCCUGAUAGGAGCCGCGUAUCUCGUUCUCAGGACACGACAGGUAAGCUAGUGUACAGGGCCUCAUAGACAUCACCCGAGUUGCCCCGGGUUAGCCCCGCACAGUGCUCUAUUUUGGACCAGCACCAUCAACACUGGCCCUCCCUGUAUUAUGUUGAAUUACUCCUCGGGUUCAUGAUGCCCUAUGUUUUUCAGUAUUAAUAGCAUUAUUAUGUUGGGAAAUAUAGUACCAAUGGUGGGCCUUGCCAGACGAGUUUUAUCCCAAAACGAAAACCUAGGGGGUCCCCAUAACAACCCCAAGCAUGUUAGGAGCGCUCAUUUAUGGAACAUAACACCGGUAGCCGAAACUAAGGUGGCAAAGGUGGAACAAAACACCAGACUAGAAAGGCUGAGCCUUCCACCUUUUACCAAGUAUAUAGGUGCAUUAAAUUAAUUAGCAAUAAUAUGGUGAUAUAACAAGGAACCCAUGUUGGUACAUGGAAGCAACUGCACCUGCAACUAGCAACACUAUUCAAUGAUUAAGCAUGCGGUAACAUAGCCAUUCAGUGGUUUACUAGGUUGUAGAAAGGUUGAAGGUUUUCAUGGCAAUGUUGGGAGGCUGAUAUUUAACAGGUGGUAGGCAGCAAGACAUAACGAUAGAAACAAAACAACUAGCAUGACAAUGAUAGUAAUGGCAUCUAGGAAAAUGAUCAUCUUGCGUGUGAUCCCGCUUGGAAGAAGAACGACUCCGUGAAGCACACGAACCGACGUAGUCGAACAGAUCCUCACAUUCCGACACGCUUGCGGAACUCUACCGAGACGAAGCAAACCGGAAACAAGCAUCAACACACGACAUUCACCACACACAUGCACGAUAUGAUGCACACCCUAAUAUGAUGCAUGUCGAGUUUAAAAUAUGCAAGGCAUGGCAUGGCAAUAGGUGAAGCAUGUGAUUCUACACGUCAUUCUAGUCGGUUUAUACCUUAGAACAUUUGACACAGCUAUAGUCUACCAGAUAUGUGCAACACAAGAUACUAUGCCAUGAAUGCAAAACGCAUGCAAAUGACAACCACGACACGUUCCGGCUCCGGUAACUCGAUGAGAUAUCGGUGCAAAUGAAUUGGGAGUAUGUGCGUGUCAUGCCAGAGAACGAUGGGAUGAUCCCGAUUACCCGGUUCCCAUGUGCCGGAGGCAUGAAUAUGGGGAUACCUGCGACUAACAUGGCAUAUACGAAAUGGACAAUGUCGCAUCUCAUACAACAAUGCAUGUCUCGAAAAAUAAAAUCGCAGCAAGAAAAUAUAUGCAUCUGCCGAAUUACAACAUAGUGCAGCGAACCAGGAUUGGAUCAGGGCCAAGGAACUGACUAUGUGUGUGCAAAAAAAAUAUGGCAAAAUUGAGGCACCAAGGAAUUAAACCCAGGACCUCUAGCAUGUUGAUCAACAACAUAACCAACAUGACAUGUAGGUGCUAGUGAUUACAAAGGUUGUGGUUGUAGAUGAACAGUCGCACUAGUGAUACUCUAAAAAGCACACAUAAAAGCAGAAGUAAAAACGUACUGCAAAAAUCAGAAAAUCUGGGACUCAAACCCACCAUUUCCUGGAUACAAACCAGUGGCGCUAACCACAGCAACUUGGUUGCGUUUGUGUCAAAUAGGGGCGCUGCUCUAGAUGAAUCAUGACAACGAGCGAAUCAGAACUAACACACAACAAAAUAGAAAUGAAAAACAGGGGCAACUAGGAUUCGAACCCCACACCCCUCGAACCACUGCGCGCGGCAAUGACCAGCUUGGCUAGCACGGUGUUUGUGGACGAAAACAGCAGCUUGGCUUAACUACAUACGAACCAGAAUGGAUCUACGAAACAAAACGAAACCUUAUGGAUGGGGCGUUGGGUCACGGAUCCAUCCGAGGGGAGUUGAUUCCCGACAACGGCAAGAUGGACUCGAGCUCACACAAGCUCCCAUGGUUGUUGCUGCUC
This 2883-nucleotide long non-coding RNA is filed under the name Hordeum vulgare. Its description in RNAcentral is "long non-coding RNA (HVUL_LNC016760)". Lineage: Eukaryota; Viridiplantae; Streptophyta; Magnoliopsida; Poales; Poaceae. The record is from RNAcentral.